This 465-nucleotide long non-coding RNA is filed under the name Brassica napus (rape). RNAcentral's name for it is "long non-coding RNA (BNAP_LNC015137)". Lineage: Eukaryota; Viridiplantae; Streptophyta; Magnoliopsida; Brassicales; Brassicaceae. The record is from RNAcentral.
AUACCCCUUGCAUUCGAUGCAUUUCAGUUCCUUUCUUUUGGUCAAAGGACAUUCAUUACGAUAGUGACCAUAGCCUUCACAUUCAUGACAUUGUAGUUCCUUUUUACGGUUUCCUCUUCCUGAGUCAUUUCGUGCGUUCGAGCGAUCACUGUCUCUGUUCUGAAAUCGGUUGCUAGACCUGUUAUGUCCCUUCUCAACCCGUUUAAGCAUUUUGUUGAAGUUCUUGGCCAUAAGACUCAUGUUGUCCUCAAUUCGUUUGACGCGAUCAAUCUCCUUAUUGUCUGUAGUAAAAGCAAUUCCUUUUUGCUCUUUGGGAAGUCCUUCUGCUCAUUCCAGGUCAUGAACUUUGAGAAUCCCGGCCAGUUGAUCAAACUUCAUCUCAUCAGUGUUGAUAGCAAUCUUCAAGACAGCUUUGUAUGCCUCAAAUCGCGGAGGGAGACAUCUCAACACUUUUUUCACAAGUUU